RNAcentral lists this ribosomal RNA (380 nucleotides) under uncultured eukaryote. Its description in RNAcentral is "partial 18S ribosomal RNA". It matches the Rfam family "Eukaryotic small subunit ribosomal RNA", at positions 592 to 976 of the family's 1831-position model. The record is from RNAcentral.
CAAUAGCGUAUAUUAAAGUUGUUGCAGUUAGAACGCUCGUAGUCGGAUUUCGGGGCGGGCCGACCGGUCUGCCGAUGGGUACGCACUGGUCGGCGCGUCCUUCCUUCCGGAGACCGUGCCUACUCUUAACUGAGCGGGGGCGGGAGACGGAACGUUUACUUUGAAAAAAUCAGAGUGUUUCAAGCAGGCAGUGCGCUCUUGCAUGGAUUAGCAUGGGAUAAUGAAAUAGGACUUUGGUGCUAUUUUGUUGGUUUCGAACACCGAAGUAAUGAUUAAAAGGGACAGUCAGGGGCACUCGUAUUCCGCCGAGAGAGGUGAAAUUCUCAGACCAGCGGAAGACGAACCACUGCGAAANCANNNGCCAGGGAUGUUUUCACNGA